GAACGAGAAAGGGAAAGAUUCAUUCCGAUAUACGCGUCCGGUUUUGCAGAGCUCUCUGCAACUCAUGGGAUGUAAAGCGCGUCACGCUUUCAAGAUUAGCCAAAGGGUUUUUGAGCUGAUGAGAAAUGAACCUUCAGGUGAUGCUCUACUUCCUGAAGAAGUGGAAGUAAGUGGGGUUGAUGUUUCAAAAGGAAAUGGGCAGAAGGAAUAUGGAAGCAGGAGG
This 223-nucleotide unclassified non-coding RNA is filed under the name Hevea brasiliensis (rubber tree). Lineage: Eukaryota; Viridiplantae; Streptophyta; Magnoliopsida; Malpighiales; Euphorbiaceae. The record is from RNAcentral.